RNAcentral lists this small nuclear RNA (23 nucleotides) under Arabidopsis thaliana (thale cress). Its description in RNAcentral is "snRNA_01346". Lineage: Eukaryota; Viridiplantae; Streptophyta; Magnoliopsida; Brassicales; Brassicaceae. The record is from RNAcentral.
AGACUGCACCAUCGAAGACUAAC